UACCCUUGACAUGUCCGGAAUCCCGAAGAGAGUUUGGGAGGUGCUCGCAAGAGAACCGGAACACAGGUGCUGCAUGGCUGUCGUCAGCUCGUGUCGUGAGAUGUUGGGUUAAGUCCCGCAACGAGCGCAACCCUUGUCAUUAGUUGCCAUCAUUUGGUUGGGCACUCUAAUGAGACUGCCGGUGACAAACCGGAGGAAGGUGGGGAUGACGUCAAGUCCUCAUGGCCCUUAUGGGUAGGGCUUCACACGUCAUACAAUGGUCGGUACAGAGGGUUGCCAACCCGCGAGGGGGAGCUAAUCCCACAAAGCCGAUCGUAGUCCGGAUCGCAGUCUGCAACUCGACUGCGUGAAGUCGGAAUCGCUAGUAAUCGUGGAUCAGCAUGUCACGGUGAAUACGUUCCCGGGCCUU
Molecule: ribosomal RNA, 409 nt
Filed under: uncultured Rhodocyclaceae bacterium
Lineage: Bacteria; Pseudomonadati; Pseudomonadota; Betaproteobacteria; Rhodocyclales; Rhodocyclaceae
Description: bacterial SSU rRNA
Rfam family: Bacterial small subunit ribosomal RNA
Source: RNAcentral